CGAAUCGUAAAGGCAUUGAGGGGUGGGGGGGAGGGGGGAAGUGUGUAAUAAACAAUGAAAGUUAGUGAUACCUGUAAUAAAGAAAGGGAAAGUUAGUGUUACCUCAAGAUUGUGUGAAGUGAGAAGUGCAAGAUACCAAGACACCAAUAUCAUUGAACAUAGCUGAGUAAAAACUAAAAAAAAAAAAAAAAAUACGAAUCAAUAAUGGAAAUGUUUAUUUUUUUCCAGAUGAUGAUUUUUUUAUUUCCUCUGUUUUAAUGUCAUGUUAUAGGUGUGUUUCAGGGCUUUAAUUUGGUGUAUAUAACUUUACUCUAGCUUUAUUGUACGGCUAUUGACAUUUUCGUAAAAGUUACAAAACUUUGACCUUCAUUUCUAGCGAAUAUUGAUUUUGGCACUUAGUACUCUUCUGCCGCGGGGGGCCUCACAUAACCAAGACCAUAAUGAAACAUCUGAAGAAUAAAAGAGACAGGUGUGGUGUUAGGCAAAUACGCAUUGGUUUUUAGACACACCACUAAUUAGGAAUGAACAUGAGUAUUUGACUUCAGAGAUGUAAGUUAAGAAGAGAAUUGGGAUAUAAAUAGGGGAUAAUAUUAUAGACAAAUAUAGACAAAUUUAUGUACGAGAUGUCAAGUGUACAUAGAAUUGUUUCAUCCAGAGAGUACCAUAUGUAGGCUUUAUGGCUUCUUGCAGUUUCCUUUAUAUUGUGUUCAUAUAUAAAAUUUAAGUGUAUUCCAUGUGAUUUCCCUACCGCCCCCCUCCCUGGUUUGAGAGUUUUGGGGGUUAGCGUUCUGUUUUGCCAGCGAUAGAGGCCUGCUGGGACUCUCCUGGCAAGCAGUUCAACACUAAUCUCUUAACCUAACCUAACCUAACCAAACCUUUAAAAACCAGGGAGCCACAGAUGUUGUUGUCUGUGCGCAUGUCAUUGAGGGGGGCGCAGAGCAUUAUGCACGUGUCCUAAUUCUUCCUGGUCCUUGGUUACUUGGAAGGUCUUGACCGUGCUACAUGCAAGUUUGGAAAGUUUCAAAGCAUUGAUCAGAGUUUACAAGAUUAGUAUAGCAAGCUUAGUAGAUUUCUUUUUGUAAGAAGGCCUUCUUAAUGCCAGGUUUCAUAGAAAUGAUGAAGAAAGUCAAAGCAAGCCGAAAGGAUGCAGUCACCGCCAGUGUGAACGCCCUUUCUGACAUGAAUCCGUCCAUUGAGAAGGCAAGCUGAUUAGUGUGUUUGGCAGCAUUGGCACCAAGAAAAGCUCCUUCAUCUCAGCUGGUCGUGGAGACGUUUCAUAGAAAUGAUGAAGAAAGUCAAGGCAAGCCGAAAGGAUGCAGUCACCACCAGUGUGGACGCCCUUUUUGACAUGAAUCUGUCCAUCGAGAAGGCAAGCUGAUUAGUGUGUUUGGCAGCACUGGCACCAGGAAAAGCUCCUUGAUCUCAGCUGAUCGUGGAGAUGUUUCAUAGAAAUGAUGAAGAAAGUCAAGGCAAGCCGAAAGGAUGCAGUCACCGCCAGUGUGGACGCCCUUUUUGACAUGAAUCCGUCCAUUGAGAAGGCAAGCUGAUUAGUGUGUUUGGCAGCACUGGCACCAGGAAAAGCUCCUUGAUCUCAGCUGGUCGUGGAGAUGUUUCAUAGAAAUGAUGAAGAAAGUCAAGGCAAGCCGAAAGGAUGCAGUCACCGCCAGUGUGGACGCCCUUUCUGACAUGAAUCCGUGUAUUGAGAAGGCAAGCUGAUUAGUGUGUUUGGCAGCACUGGCACCAGGAAAAGCUCCUUGAUCUCAGCUCAUCGUGGAGAUGUAAGGCUCUGUUUUUCCUUUUCAUUUCUUUCAUCCUGUAUAUAUGUUCCUCAGAUCUUCUUUUAUCUGCAUUAUCAUUUAAUUUAAUACCUUUAUUUUUCUGUUAUGUGGUUUUUCCCACUUUUGCGGUCAUAGAUGUCUUGUUUGACGUUGCUUCUUUUUUCAUUUCUUCCUCCAUAUAUCUUCUCUUUUUUAGUUUUUUAUAAACAUACAUUUUCAUAUCCAUAUUUGGGUAACAUCACUAUUAGAGCUUGUAUUACAGGGAUAAGUCUUGCAUUUUGGCAUGAAAAAUUGACUCUGGCAAUAUGGCAUUUUAUAAUAUAUAUAAAUAGAUAUAUGUCAUAUGAUGUUUGUCAGGCUGUUUGAAAACAAAUUUAUUAGAAUUUAUUUGCAUCAUUACUGGAGUGCUUUUUGAGAACAUCAAAACUACUAAAGAUUACAUAACCAAGACCAUAAUGAAAUAUCUGAAGAAUAGAAAAAUAAUAGUAGGCAAAUAUGCAUUGGUUUUUAGACACACUCCAGUAAUUAGAGACGUCGCAGUGAGGCUGGUAGAUACCUAUCAGCGCCAGCAUUUUUAAUUGUCUCCGAUUUCCUGGGGCAAAGGGGUAUCUUAGCUAAAUUUGAAAUCGAUGUGCAGGAAAAGUACAGCAUGAAUUGCUGCACAAGUGUAUCUAAAAUUAAAAACAUAACCCUUAAUAUUAAUUUUCAUACUUACUGGUGUAUGAUAAGGCUUUGUUAAUUGAAUUAUAAGAUAAAACUAAAAAUAGGUAAUGAUUUUUUUUUAAGUAAGUAUGAACAGUAAAAAUAAAAGGAUGUUGAUUUCGGCUUGUGCAUUUUAUCUGGGAAUGUUGAAAAAUAUCAGAUAUCACUGACACAUCCUGUAUAUGAAAGUAAUCAGUGAAAUAAAAAAAGAACAGCACCGCUGGCGGACGUACGACGUACUUAUCUUGAUCAUGAUUCUUCAGUUAAAGAAAGCGCCGCGCGCCUUUAGGAAGGAGUGUAAAGUGUAAAGAAUAGCCUCUCAGUUCUGCCGAUACAAAGGCCUUUACUUUGCUUUACUAUAUCCAGAAUAGGGUAUAGCUCGUUCUUUCAGGAAUUUUCUUAAUUCCGCUGUAGUCCAUGAUUGUGGCGGUGAUGUAUCCAUUGUGCAGGGUAGUCGAGUAAGCGUGGUCCUGUGUUUUGGUUUGCUCGCUGCCCAAGUACCCGAGGAUAGUGAUCGUACCGCAAAAAUAAAGUCUCUGAUACAAAUUUAUAUUUUCUUUACAUUAAAUGGAUUUGCCUGUUGUUUAGUACAUGAAAAUGCAAGUAUAUAUUAGUAUACUUCCAUUGAGGUCAGUAGAAAAUUACAGAUUGCCUGCCUUGAUACACUUAUAGGCUCUUUUAAGAAUAUCAUCUGAAAUUAUGAAUAGAGGCUCAAACAAUGUCAUGUGCUGUCAGUUAUCACGAAAUUAAUUGACUUAAAAUUCAGACGCAUUACUGUGCAACGAUACACCUUUGUUAGCUUGUAAAACCUUGCCUCAAAAAGUAUUUAUUUUCCGGCGAUAAUUAAAAAUUCUGGUGCUAUCUGGUAUCAAAACGCUCACUGCGAUGUCUCUAAUUAGGAAUGAACAUGAGUAUUUGACUUCAGAGGUGUAAGUUAAGAAGGGAUUUGGGAUAUAAAUAGGGGAUAAUAUUAUUGACAAAUAUAGACAAAUUUAUGUACAAGAUCUCAAGUGUACAUAGAAUUGUUUCAUGCAGAGAGUACCAUAUGUAGGCUUUAUGGCUUCUUGCAGUUUCCUUCAUAUUGUGUUCAUUUAUAAAAUUUAGGUGUAUUCCAUGUGAUUUCCCUACUGCCCCUCUUCCCUGGUAUGAGAGUUAUGGGGUUAGCGUUCUGUUUUGCCAGCAAUAGAGGCCUUCUGGGACUCUCCUGGCAAGCAGUUCAACACUAAUCUCUCAAUCUAACCAAACCUUUAACUGUAUGUAAAGCGUAUGUACCUCACGCCAUUAUUCCUCGGCAUUUAUAAGUGAAAUGUUCAAUAGUUUUCUAUUUGCAUGAAAACGUGUAAUAUGUGUAAGUAUCAGUAUUCAAUGCUAUAUUAAGCACCGAAGCCGAUGCUCAGUUGUUGGUAGUGUGGGGUUAACCUGCUAGUCGCCUGCGGGCAUCACUCACGGCCAAGUCGCACUCAGACAAAGACGGGCAGGAUGGUGACCGAGGUAAAUACUUUAAUUUUGUAGUUAAAACUGAUUGUCAUAGUGCCAAGUCAAUUGCAUGUAUUGUUAAUGAAUAUUGUAAUAUGUUGAAAGUGUUUGAUAUCAGUGUAUAAUGUUAUUUUGUAAGAAAUUGAGACCGAGAACUUGUUCGCAGUUCUUACGGUCAUGCCUACCUCAUCAAUAAACGUGUCAGGGAGAACUGCCUUUCCUCAACCCUACAAUGAUGGGUGUGAUCAGUAAAACAGAUCACCUGAGAGCCAAUUGAUGCCCAGCCGGUGCGGCUACAGUAAGAACUCGACCUAGAAGCAAGAAAUUGGCUCCAUGUGAAACCGUAGCAAGAGUGAGUCACAGGACGAGGGGACGCUGACGUAAGCCUAUAGGUUGACCUCUGAGGCCCUGGGGUCAGCUCUACCCUUGACGACAACCACUCCCUUCUACCUACUGUGCCUCGCCACCAUUUUGUAGAACCCAUGGUCACAGGCAAGAAAGUAUAAUAUUAUGUAUGUGCACUGAAUUGAGUAGCCUAAGUGAAAAUUACCGACAAUUAGCUAUUAUUAAGAGUGGUAAUUUUAAAUUGCUCUUUCAGUUUCUCGGUAUUGACACAAUUAAGUUGUUAGAUAUGUCUGAUACUGAGGAAAUUAAUGCCGUAGAUGGCCUUAGGGAAGGUGAGGGUGAGCAAGUGGACAAGGAUCAAACUUUUAUUGAAGAAGUUAGUGUCAGGGAGCGAGUGCUGACCGACAAAGGAAGAGAAUAUCAAGUCAGUGUAACCAAAGGAAGAGCAGAGUCCUGUAAGCGUAAAUGGAGCAGUGUUACCAUUAAAAUUAAGAAAGGAUUAAAAAUUGUAAUUAGCCCCUUUGAAUUAGAGCCCAUGUCAAGUGAAGUAAUAGAGGCAUUUCAUCAGUAUUAUGUGGAAUACACAAAACUGGUGGAACUAGAGCCAGAAAAGUCAGAGGAGCUAAAUGAAGAGCUGGAACACAAUCAACAAGUUCACCAUGAAAUAUUAGAAAGUAUAGAAUGUAAAAGAAAGGAGUUAAAGAAUGACAGAGGAUCAAUUUGUUCUAGCAAACGGUCUAGGCAUUCUAGAGUCUCAUCUACUUCAUCAUGUUCAUCAGCAGCACAAAGAAAGCAAGAAGCAGCAGCAAAGGUAGCCAGACUUAGAAAGGAAAUGGAAUAUCAUGAUAGUUUAGCAGAGGCAGAAGUUAGGUUAGCUAGAGACCAGGCAAUGUUUGCAAAGAAAAAGAAAGAGAGAGAUUUAGCAGUUGCUAGUGCAGAACUUAAUGCUCUUAGCUUAGUUGAAGAAGAAGUAAAAAUGCUUCCAGGUAAUGAUGAAAGUGUAGAGAAGCAAAGUUAUCUUCAACAAUACAUAGAGUCACAAAAUGAAAUGAAAGUACAAGCAAUUGCAAAUCAACAAAGUGACAAUGCCAUGCCUCACAAAUAUGAUACAUUCCAUGACCCACAGAAACCUUCUUGCAAUAGAGAUAAUGAAUUGAUGACAAAUGAAGUACAUGGACAAAUAUUUAGUGAACCUCAGGUAAUAAAUCUCAACCCUACAGCUCAAAGUCUUGUACCAAGCUCUCGUAGACACACUCAUAAUGUCAACAUGCCUAAUAAUGUGAAUAAUGUGAGACAGAAUCAUCAAUCCUUUUCCCUUCCUGGGGGAACCUUUGCAAUCAACAUACCUGAUCUCAAGUGGAGCCUCCCUCCAAUAGAGCCUAACACUUUUGAUGGAGAACCCAUGGAAUUUCCAAGUUGGUUGAAAAACUUUGAAACUUAUGUAGAGUCUAAAACUUCUAUUGGUAAAGAGAGACUUGCCUACUUAGACAGGUAUACAAAUGGUGAGGCAAAGGAUGCCAUUAAAAUGUUAAUGUACUUUAACUCUGAUGCUGACUAUGUGCAAGCAAAGAAAAUUCUCAGUGAUAGAUUUGGAAACAAAAGCAUCAUAGCUGAUGCUUACACAAAAAAGUUAAUGAAUUGGCUACCAAUCUCUCCGCAUAAUGGUCCAGCAUUAACAGCAUUCUCAGAUUUUUUGAAGUGCUGUUUAGCUGCAAUGAAACACACUUCUUAUUUGUCAUUUCUGAAUGACCCUAGAGAGCAGAAAAAGGUGCUAGCAAAACUCCCUGAACAUAUUGUUCAUGACUGGAGAAAGCAAGUGAUGAUAUAUCUUGAUACUAACAGUAAUAACAACACUUCUAGUAGCAAUGAAGAGCACCACCCACCCUUUGAAAUGUUAUGUGAAUUUGUCCAGAAAGAAGCAAAAGGAGCAAGCAAUCCAUUUCUUUCCUGGAAUUCAGUAAGUAGGGAAGUAAAUGACUGGAUCAAAAUUCACACAAGGGCAACCAAUUGGAAACCAAGGGAAUCCAACAUCAUGACAAAGAAUAGAGGGAGUAGAACUUUCAUGGCUAAAGCAAUUGAGGAAAAACCAAUGUGGUCAUUCCAAAGUAAAGUAAAUGUACAAGCCAACAAACAGUAUCCCAAGGACCAGGAAAGGAAAGGACGAUUCUGUCACUACUGU
Long non-coding RNA from Scylla paramamosain (green mud crab), 6480 nucleotides. RefSeq lists it as uncharacterized. The record is from RefSeq and is a predicted model, not a curated record. The transcript is spliced from 4 exons. Lineage: Eukaryota; Metazoa; Arthropoda; Malacostraca; Decapoda; Portunidae.